Peromyscus maniculatus bairdii (prairie deer mouse) is the source of this 2261-nucleotide non-coding RNA. The record is from RefSeq and is a predicted model, not a curated record. Lineage: Eukaryota; Metazoa; Chordata; Mammalia; Rodentia; Cricetidae.
GACCUUUACGUCUCUAAGCUUUCCUCCAGUGAUGGACUUCCCCCAGCAAGGCUACAGCAGCUAAGCCUCCACAGUAGGGCCACUAACUGGGAGCCAGGGAGCCAGGUGUUUGUUAAAACGACCAGGACUGUGGGAGACAUUUCUCAUUCAAAUUUCCACAGCCAAGCCCCAGGUGGAGCUCCAGGAGUCCAAUCGCUUUUAUGACUGCAUCUCACUACCUGGAGGCAGAUCGGGAACAUCGGAAAUUCAAGAUUAUCUGCAGCUGCACAGUGAGUUCUAGGCCAGGCUGGACUCCAUGAGGCUGUGCUCUGAGCAAACAAACAAACCAACAAAAACAAACAAACCAACAAAAAUACCAAACAACCACCUCAGAAAACAAGAUGGGACACAGUUAAGUGAAAUAUCAUGAAAGAUUAUGUGCUUAUCAUGUGCAAGUCUACGCACCCAACCUCCAAAUAAAUUCGAAAACUUUAAUUAAAAAAAAUAGGCAAGUAGGACAUGAUAGCACAUGCCUGUAGUCCAUCACUUGUUGGAAGGCCAGAGAGUCAAAACUUCAGGUCAUCAGCAACUACAUGUUGAGUUCAAGGCUAGCCUGGGCUGUGUGGGAUCCUGUCUCAAAAGAUAGAAAUGGGAUGGUGAACCUUCUCAGUAUGGGCUUAGCCACAGUCCUUGACAACCUUAGGGAUACCUCCACUGACUCUGCCUCCGACCCUUGGCCUACAUUUCUCCCAAGUCUUUCUCUGUAUACAAACCAGCUAGACAUCUCCAGGCACCAUCAGUAAUCUGUCACACAGACCCACAAUCAGCUUGAGACCACCACAGUUAUGUUUGCAUGUGUGCAAUACCUGUAGAGGCCAGAAGAGGGCUGCAUUAGAUUCCUUUGGAGCUGGAGUUUUACCCGCAGUUGUAAGGCCGGUGACAAGGGUGCUGAGGACUGAACUGGGUGGGAUCCUCUAAGAGACCUGAAGCCCCUUAGCGCUUCACCAUCUCUCCAGCGCUUUAUAGUAUCUCUAUAAAACUGGUCAAGGUCUACAGCGUUUAUUUGAACCAGCUACAUAUCAUUUUCAUAAGGAUCCCUGGAGGCUAUAGUUAUACAUGGUUAUUUCAUCCUUCACAAACGCAAUGCGGUACAGAAGCCAGGACUGUAAUAGACAACACAGAAGAGUGACAGUCUCAGUUCCUCUCACAGUGACAAGAGCCUUUCAGUGUUCUGGCACGAGGCGUAGUCCAUAUCUGACGCCAAUAUUUCAAGCAUAGUGCCAGGAAUUCUGGACAAUAAGAAUGACUCAGAAAAAAAAAGAGAGAAACCUCAACCUUCAACUGUCAACUCUUUCCAAACACCAGCUAAUGUUCCCCAGGACUGGCAGCACGUGACCUCUCUGUUUUCAGAUGUGUUUUUCAACAUGUAAUGGUCUGGCUGUGUCACCAUCUGCAUUGAGGAAUGUACACUAGGAAAAUCACAAGGAGCGGUCUGGGAAGAGAGCCACAGGAAUGGAAUGCCGUGCACGUUGUGGGGCUAUUUCCCCCCUCCCCUGUUAUCCCCAUUUGGAGCAGGUCAGGCUGCACUGAUAACAGCUGCAGAAACAAUUGGAGACCUUAUUCAUAAAAUCAAAGGCAGCAUGCCAGAUGGCCACCAACCAAAGGAACUGAGGCUGCAGAGGAUUAGCAAAAGCUGGUGCCACGGGGAGCAAACCCCCUGAGAAUAAACAUCUUUGUACUUCUGCUACACUGUCAAAAUCAGAAUGCAAACAAGGAUGAAGGUAGCAGAGAGUCUAUCUCAGCACUGAGUGGUUUAUUCCAAACUUGAAAGAAUCGGACAUUCCAUCAACAAAUGUUUGUGUGACAUUCUAUAAAGGACACAAGCCAUAUGGCCUUUGUAAAUGGGAAAUGUACACUGGUGUGUCUUCUCAGACAUUAGAAGGAGCCCAUGGCAAGGACAGGAUCUGGUAACUGAUGAUGCAAACUGCCCCCGAAAGCAAGAAAGGAUGGUAUUAAUUGCAGGUAUGAAGACUUACUUGUGAAGAAAGAAACACUGAAUUUUCGAGGCUAGCAUGGAAAAACAAAAGAACAAUACAAGGUCACAGACUGCGUUAUUCAGCUCUCAUGCUCUCCGGCUGUGAUGUGGCAAGUACAGUAUUGGUCCAACAGCACCUAUCCUAGUGGGCUGAAGUUGCAGAAUGCCAAGAAAAGUGAUGACUGCCAGCGUGAAGAUGCUCACACAACAUGUCAUGAACAGAGAGAAACAUGACCUUUCAAAUCAU